UUCAAACAUUGACGCCAGCUGCUGCCUUUCAAAAACUGUCGAGCGAAACAAAUGUGUUUGUUUUUCAUUUUCCAGUCUCUUUCGCUUUCCUUUCCAUGCCGGCUGCCGCUGCCACUGCUGCUGCCAAAUCUCUUUCGUUGUUUGCCGGUGAACGGUAAGGCGUUUUUUAAGUAGUUUUUAAUAAUGCGGCAACACACGCGGAAAAGGAGCAAAGGCCAAAAGGACUAGCAACCCAUCGAGAUGUGGGCAGGAUCAACAAAUUAUAUAUUUCAGCCAAAGCCAAAAGAAAACCAAACCCAAAACAUCUGUUGCCACCGAAAGGAUGGUGGAAAAUAGCAGGACAGGACAGGACUGGACAGGACUGGACUGGAAAAAAGGUAAAAAAAUAGAACGUUGAACGGUGGGUGCACCACCACAGAGGGAGUAGCUCUGAUUUCAGGCAAGCCACAGAGCGGCAAGAGAGCAAGGACCUCCCCAAGACUCAAGACGCAAGACCCAAGACCCCAGAUAAUCGUCGAGUUUUUCUUUUCUUACGAGUAUUCCGUCUGCCCCUGCCCCUGCCCCUGCCCGUGCUCCUCCUGCCACUAAACAGCGACACAACAGCGGAACAGAAAUUGAAUUUAAAUGGUUGUCAGCAACAGAAAUUAGUUUUGCUUUCUCAGAAAUGACAAAAAAAAA
Molecule: long non-coding RNA, 678 nt
Organism: Drosophila pseudoobscura
Lineage: Eukaryota; Metazoa; Arthropoda; Insecta; Diptera; Drosophilidae
Exons: 2
Source: RefSeq, a predicted model, not a curated record